GGGGAAUCUUCCGCAAUGGGCGAAAGCCUGACGGAGCAAUACCGCGUGAGGGAGGAAGGCUCUUGGGUUGUAAACCUCUUUUCUCAGGGAAGAAUUCAUGACGGUACCUGAGGAAUAAGCAUCGGCUAACUCUGUGCCAGCAGCCGCGGUAAUACAGAGGAUGCAAGCGUUAUCCGGAAUGAUUGGGCGUAAAGCGUCCGCAGGUGGUUUUGUAAGUCUGCUGUUAAAGCGUGCAGCUUAACUGCAUAAAGGCGGUGGAAACUAUAAGACUAGAGUACGUUCGGGGUAGAGGGAAUUCCCAGUGUAGCGGUGAAAUGCGUAGAGAUUGGGAAGAACACCAGUGGCGAAGGCGCUCUGCUAGGACUGUACUGACACUGAGGGACGAAAGCUAGGGGAGCGAAAGGGAUUAGAUACCCC
Molecule: ribosomal RNA, 417 nt
Filed under: uncultured Macrochaete sp.
Lineage: Bacteria; Bacillati; Cyanobacteriota; Cyanophyceae; Nostocales; Calotrichaceae
Description: bacterial SSU rRNA
Rfam family: Bacterial small subunit ribosomal RNA
Source: RNAcentral